RNAcentral lists this non-coding RNA (27 nucleotides) under Rattus norvegicus (Norway rat). Lineage: Eukaryota; Metazoa; Chordata; Mammalia; Rodentia; Muridae. The record is from RNAcentral.
UGAAUCACUUAGUUUGAAUCAAAGCUC